RNAcentral lists this ribosomal RNA (373 nucleotides) under uncultured organism. Its description in RNAcentral is "partial 16S ribosomal RNA". It matches the Rfam family "Bacterial small subunit ribosomal RNA", at positions 527 to 896 of the family's 1533-position model. The record is from RNAcentral.
GUAGGUGGCAAGCGUUGUCCGGAAUUAUUGGGCGUAAAGCGCGCGCAGGCGGUUCUUUAAGUCUGAUGUGAAAGCCCACGGCUCAACCGUGGAGGGUCAUUGGAAACUGGAGAACUUGAGUACAGAAGAGGAAAGCGGAAUUCCACGUGUAGCGGUGAAAUGCGUAGAGAUGUGGAGGAACACCAGUGGCGAAGGCGGCUUUCUGGCCUGUAACUGACGCUGAGGCGCGAAAGCGUGGGGAGCAAACAGGGAUUAGAUACCCUGGUAGUCCACGCCGUAAACGAUGAGUGCUAAGUGUUAGGGGGUUUCCGCCCCCUUAGUGCUGCAGCUAACGCAUUAAACACUCCGCCUGGGGAGUACGGCCGCAAGGCUG